GGGUUGUGAGGUUAAGCGACUAAGCGUACACGGUGGAUGCCCUGGCAGUCAGAGGCGAUGAAGGACGUGCUAAUCUGCGAUAAGCGUCGGUAAGGUGAUAUGAACCGUUAUAACCGGCGAUUUCCGAAUGGGGAAACCCAGUGUGUUUCGACACACUAUCAUUAACUGAAUCCAUAGGUUAAUGAGGCGAACCGGGGGAACUGAAACAUCUAAGUACCCCGAGGAAAAGAAAUCAACCGAGAUUCCCCCAGUAGCGGCGAGCGAACGGGGAGCAGCCCAGAGCCUGAAUCAGUGUGUGUGUUAGUGGAAGCGUCUGGAAAGGCGCGCGAUACAGGGUGACAGCCCCGUACACAAAAAUGCACAUGCUGUGAGCUCGAUGAGUAGGGCGGGACACGUGGUAUCCUGUCUGAAUAUGGGGGGACCAUCCUCCAAGGCUAAAUACUCCUGACUGACCGAUAGUGAACCAGUACCGUGAGGGAAAGGCGAAAAGAACCCCGGCGAGGGGAGUGAAAAAGAACCUGAAACCGUGUACGUACAAGCAGUGGGAGCACGCUUAGGCGUGUGACUGCGUACCUUUUGUAUAAUGGGUCAGCGACUUAUAUUCUGUAGCAAGGUUAACCGAAUAGGGGAGCCGAAGGGAAACCGAGUCUUAACUGGGCGUUAAGUUGCAGGGUAUAGACCCGAAACCCGGUGAUCUAGCCAUGGGCAGGUUGAAGGUUGGGUAACACUAACUGGAGGACCGAACCGACUAAUGUUGAAAAAUUAGCGGAUGACUUGUGGCUGGGGGUGAAAGGCCAAUCAAACCGGGAGAUAGCUGGUUCUCCCCGAAAGCUAUUUAGGUAGCGCCUCGUGAAUUCAUCUCCGGGGGUAGAGCACUGUUUCGGCAAGGGGGUCAUCCCGACUUACCAACCCGAUGCAAACUGCGAAUACCGGAGAAUGUUAUCACGGGAGACACACGGCGGGUGCUAACGUCCGUCGUGAAGAGGGAAACAACCCAGACCGCCAGCUAAGGUCCCAAAGUCAUGGUUAAGUGGGAAACGAUGUGGGAAGGCCCAGACAGCCAGGAUGUUGGCUUAGAAGCAGCCAUCAUUUAAAGAAAGCGUAAUAGCUCACUGGUCGAGUCGGCCUGCGCGGAAGAUGUAACGGGGCUAAACCAUGCACCGAAGCUGCGGCAGCGACGCUUAUGCGUUGUUGGGUAGGGGAGCGUUCUGUAAGCCUGCGAAGGUGUGCUGUGAGGCAUGCUGGAGGUAUCAGAAGUGCGAAUGCUGACAUAAGUAACGAUAAAGCGGGUGAAAAGCCCGCUCGCCGGAAGACCAAGGGUUCCUGUCCAACGUUAAUCGGGGCAGGGUGAGUCGACCCCUAAGGCGAGGCCGAAAGGCGUAGUCGAUGGGAAACAGGUUAAUAUUCCUGUACUUGGUGUUACUGCGAAGGGGGGACGGAGAAGGCUAUGUUGGCCGGGCGACGGUUGUCCCGGUUUAAGCGUGUAGGCUGGUUUUCCAGGCAAAUCCGGAAAAUCAAGGCUGAGGCGUGAUGACGAGGCACUACGGUGCUGAAGCAACAAAUGCCCUGCUUCCAGGAAAAGCCUCUAAGCAUCAGGUAACAUCAAAUCGUACCCCAAACCGACACAGGUGGUCAGGUAGAGAAUACCAAGGCGCUUGAGAGAACUCGGGUGAAGGAACUAGGCAAAAUGGUGCCGUAACUUCGGGAGAAGGCACGCUGAUAUGUAGGUGAAGUCCCUCGCGGAUGGAGCUGAAAUCAGUCGAAGAUACCAGCUGGCUGCAACUGUUUAUUAAAAACACAGCACUGUGCAAACACGAAAGUGGACGUAUACGGUGUGACGCCUGCCCGGUGCCGGAAGGUUAAUUGAUGGGGUCAGCGCAAGCGAAGCUCUUGAUCGAAGCCCCGGUAAACGGCGGCCGUAACUAUAACGGUCCUAAGGUAGCGAAAUUCCUUGUCGGGUAAGUUCCGACCUGCACGAAUGGCGUAAUGAUGGCCAGGCUGUCUCCACCCGAGACUCAGUGAAAUUGAACUCGCUGUGAAGAUGCAGUGUACCCGCGGCAAGACGGAAAGACCCCGUGAACCUUUACUAUAGCUUGACACUGAACAUUGAGCCUUGAUGUGUAGGAUAGGUGGGAGGCUUUGAAGUGUGGACGCCAGUCUGCAUGGAGCCGACCUUGAAAUACCACCCUUUAAUGUUUGAUGUUCUAACGUGGACCCGUAAUCCGGGUUGCGGACAGUGUCUGGUGGGUAGUUUGACUGGGGCGGUCUCCUCCUAAAGAGUAACGGAGGAGCACGAAGGUUGGCUAAUCCUGGUCGGACAUCAGGAGGUUAGUGCAAUGGCAUAAGCCAGCUUGACUGCGAGCGUGACGGCGCGAGCAGGUGCGAAAGCAGGUCAUAGUGAUCCGGUGGUUCUGAAUGGAAGGGCCAUCGCUCAACGGAUAAAAGGUACUCCGGGGAUAACAGGCUGAUACCGCCCAAGAGUUCAUAUCGACGGCGGUGUUUGGCACCUCGAUGUCGGCUCAUCACAUCCUGGGGCUGAAGUAGGUCCCAAGGGUAUGGCUGUUCGCCAUUUAAAGUGGUACGCGAGCUGGGUUUAGAACGUCGUGAGACAGUUCGGUCCCUAUCUGCCGUGGGCGCUGGAGAACUGAGGGGGGCUGCUCCUAGUACGAGAGGACCGGAGUGGACGCAUCACUGGUGUUCGGGUUGUCAUGCCAAUGGCACUGCCCGGUAGCUAAAUGCGGAAGAGAUAAGUGCUGAAAGCAUCUAAGCACGAAACUUGCCCCGAGAUGAGUUCUCCCUGACCCUUUAAGGGUCCUGAAGGAACGUUGAAGACGACGACGUUGAUAGGCCGGGUGUGUAAGCGCAGCGAUGCGUUGAGCUAACCGGUACUAAUGAACCGUGAGGCUUAACCUUACAACGCCGAAGGUGUUU
This 2931-nucleotide ribosomal RNA is filed under the name Escherichia coli. RNAcentral describes it as "23S ribosomal RNA". It matches the Rfam family "Bacterial large subunit ribosomal RNA". Lineage: Bacteria; Pseudomonadati; Pseudomonadota; Gammaproteobacteria; Enterobacterales; Enterobacteriaceae. The record is from RNAcentral.